This 234-nucleotide ribosomal RNA is filed under the name uncultured bacterium. Its description in RNAcentral is "partial 16S ribosomal RNA". It matches the Rfam family "Bacterial small subunit ribosomal RNA", at positions 941 to 1178 of the family's 1533-position model. The record is from RNAcentral.
GUGGAUUAAUUCGAUGCAACGCGAAGAACCUUACCUGGGCUUGACAUGCACCGGAUCGCUGCAGAGAUGUAGUUUCCCUUGUGGCUGGUGUACAGGUGGUGCAUGGUUGUCGUCAGCUCGUGUCGUGAGAUGUUGGGUUAAGUCCCGCAACGAGCGCAACCCUUGUCUUAUGUUGCCAGCAUUUGGUUGGGGACUCAUGAGAGACUGCCGGGGUUAACUCGGAGGAAGGUGGGG